CCUACGGGAGGCAGCAGUGGGGAAUUUUGGACAAUGGGCGAAAGCCUGAUCCAGCAAUGCCGCGUGCAGGAUGAAGGCCUUCGGGUUGUAAACUGCUUUUGUACGGAGCGAAAAGGCUUUCUCUAAUACAGGGGGCUCAUGACGGUACCGUAAGAAUAAGCACCGGCUAACUACGUGCCAGCAGCCGCGGUAAUACGUAGGGUGCGAGCGUUAAUCGGAAUUACUGGGCGUAAAGCGUGCGCAGGCGGUUCUAUAAGACAGGCGUGAAAUCCCCGGGCUCAACCUGGGAAUUGCGUUUGUGACUGUAGAGCUGGAGUACGGCAGAGGGGGAUGGAAUUCCGCGUGUAGCAGUGAAAUGCGUAGAUAUGCGGAGGAACACCGAUGGCGAAGGCAAUCCCCUGGGCCUGUACUGACGCUCAUGCACGAAAGCGUGGGGAGCAAACAGGAUUAGAUACCCUGGUAGUCCACGCCCUAAACGAUGUCAACUGGUUGUCGGGUCUUCACUGACUCAGUAACGAAGCUAACGCGUGAAGUUGACCGCCUGGGGAGUACGGCCGCAAGGUUGAAACUUAAAGGAAUUGACGG
This 585-nucleotide ribosomal RNA is filed under the name uncultured bacterium. RNAcentral's name for it is "bacterial SSU rRNA". It matches the Rfam family "Bacterial small subunit ribosomal RNA", at positions 338 to 916 of the family's 1533-position model. The record is from RNAcentral.